Molecule: ribosomal RNA, 471 nt
Filed under: uncultured bacterium
Lineage: Bacteria
Description: SSU rRNA
Rfam family: Bacterial small subunit ribosomal RNA
Source: RNAcentral
AGGACGAACGCUGGCGGCGUGCUUAACACAUGCAAGUCGAGCGGAAAGGCCCUUCGGGGUACUCGAGCGGCGAACGGGUGAGUAACACGUGAGCAACCUGCCCUUAGCUCCGGGAUAGCUCCGGGAAACCGGAAUUAAUACCGGAUACGACCACGGCCGACAUCUGCUGUGGUGGAAAGGAUUCCGGCUAAGGAUGGGCUCGCGGCCUAUCAGCUAGUUGGUGGAGUAACGGCCCACCAAGGCGACGACGGGUAGCCGGCCUGAGAGGGCGACCGGCCACACUGGGACUGAGACACGGCCCAGACUCCUACGGGAGGCAGCAGUGGGAAUAUUGCGCAAUGGGCGAAAGCCUGACGCAGCGACGCCGCGUGGGGAUGAAGGCCUUCGGGUUGUAAACCCUUUCAGCAGGGACGAAGCGAAAGUGACGGUACCUGCAGAAGAAGCGCCGGCUAACUACGUGCCAGCAGCCGC